GAUGAACGCUGGCGGCGUGCUUAACACAUGCAGGUCGAACGGAAAGGCUCCUGCUUGCAGGGGUACUCGAGUGGCGAACGGGUGAGUAACACGUGGGUGAUCUGCCCUGUACUUCGGGAUAAGCUUGGGAAACUGGGUCUAAUACCGGAUAGGACAACUUUUUGGAUAUUGUUGUGGAAAGCUUUUGCGGUAUGGGAUGAGCUCGCGGCCUAUCAGCUUGUUGGUGGGGUAAUGGCCUACCAAGGCGUCGACGGGUAGCCGGCCUGAGAGGGUGUACGGCCACAUUGGGACUGAGAUACGGCCCAGACUCCUACGGGAGGCAGCAGUGGGGAAUAUUGCACAAUGGGCGCAAGCCUGAUGCAGCGACGCCGCGUGGGGGAUGAAGGCCUUCGGGUUGUAAACUCCUUUCGCUAGGGACGAAGCUUUUUUGUGACGGUACCUGGAGAAGAAGCACCGGCUAACUACGUG
RNAcentral lists this ribosomal RNA (468 nucleotides) under uncultured bacterium. Its description in RNAcentral is "partial 16S ribosomal RNA". It matches the Rfam family "Bacterial small subunit ribosomal RNA", at positions 28 to 507 of the family's 1533-position model. The record is from RNAcentral.